UUGAAAAGUACGUUAAUCAGUACGCUUCAACCUUUUGUAACCGAGGCAUACCUGUGGUCAGACAAAAGAAACAUGUGCAAUCGUAAUCGACUUGUAUUCUUCCUUGUUUCGGCAUUGUUUGUCACCGCAUGGGCCGCAUCAGCAAAAGAAUGUAGAGAUCCUCUGCAAGAAUACAGAAAAUGCCAAUCAUCGAGCUGUGUAAAAACAUGCGCGAAUCCAAAUCCAACUAUUUGUACAUUCGACUGCCAACAGGGAUGUUAUUGCAAAGAGCCAUACGUAUUGGAUCAGAGUACUAAUCAAUGCGUUGAAAUCGCAAAAUGCACCAAAUUGUGUCGAGAGAAUGAAGUAUACAAACAAUGUGGGUACUGCGAUGGCUCAUGUCAACAGGAGCUAGUGAAAUGUACAAGAAACUGUCGACCAGGGUGUUAUUGCGAGGAUGGUUUCGUUCGAGAUCAAGGGAGGUGUAUCAAUCGCCUGCAAUGUCCCAUUCCAUGAAUUUAUUUGAUAAAGAUUAGUAAUAUGCAUAAAAAUGGUUUUUGCUAUUUUUUAGUCAUGUUCAAAUCGUAAACUAGCCAAAAUAAUAUUAAAACGUAAAUGUGAGAUUUUUGUUUGUUUGUGACGCUUUCACUGGAGAACAAUUCAAUCAAUUUUGAUAAAUUUUGGUAUACAGACAUUUUGGACCUAGGAAUAACAAAUAGACUACUUUUUGUUGCAAAAAUAUAACUAAAAGGGUGUAAAAUAAGGGAUAAAAGAUGGUAUGAAGCAUCAAUCACAAUUAUAGUUAAAUAAAUCCAAGCUAGAUGGCGCUAAAGUGCAUUAUUACGAUUUGAUCUAAAUUUUUGUAAAACACACCGAAUUUUAUGCUUCUAUUUGCGUUUUAAAGCAAUUUAAUACUACAAAAAUACAAUAUCUUUCAUUUCUAACGUAAAUAA
Molecule: long non-coding RNA, 932 nt
Organism: Dalotia coriaria
Lineage: Eukaryota; Metazoa; Arthropoda; Insecta; Coleoptera; Staphylinidae
Exons: 3
Source: RefSeq, a predicted model, not a curated record